UGACAACACGUAAGAAAACAUAAACACAAUAUUAUUCAAAGCUCCAUUUUAUUCAUUUUUUUCAAUAUUCAUCACAUGUUUCUUUCAAAAAUAAUAAAAUAAUAAAAUAUUCGUUGACAUGUUGAUUUUUCAUACAUGUAGCUUACUGCAGCAUGUAAGAAAACAAAGAAACAAUGGAAGCCCCAACCAAUGAUCCAAGAACAGGCAAGGUAGCGGCAGCCACGCUGGAAUCCGGUCCUGAUGCUGGAGCGGAACCAGGAGAGGAGCUAGGACUAGAACCACCGGCUGAAGGGGCAGGAGAUGGUGCACCGGCAGCCAUGACGGCGCUCAUUGAGGCGGCAGCAACAAUGAUGGCGGUGGAGACCUUCUUCAUGUCCAUGGCGUAUAAAGUGAUUAUUAAACGCACCGGAAAUGAGAGGGACCCGCGUUUAAUUACCGGUGAAUGGGGAUCCGCCGAUGAUUGUUAUUAUUUGCUUUGUUAUUGCAGGUCUGAAAAACAAUGAUGGUGGGGAGGAUCUUUUAUAGGUGAAAAUUCAUGGCUAUUUUUAGUGACGAAGUUUAAAGGAAAAAUUACGUGUUUGGUUUUCACAUGGUUUGCGGGAUAGACAUGCAAAAUUUUGAAUUUUUUUUAACGAUUUUUAGGUAAGGGGAUUUUAAAAUUUAAGAUUGAAUGAUAAUUUAUUUCUAUUUAAUUUUUUUUUAAAUCGUAAAAUUUGAUUUGCACGGAUAUGAGAGAUGGAAUUAAGGUCUAUUAAUUCCAUAGAUUUUAUAUUUAUUAAUUUUGAAUGGAUUUUUUUAACUAAAAUUUAAAUGAUAGAAGUAAAGUGAGAUGAUUUAAUCAUUUAUAUGUAAAUAUUAUAUAACAAGAUGUACUAAAAAAAAUGUUAUAUACUAUCAUAAAUGUAGAGUUGUCCAUGGAUUGGACUAUUUGGCUCGGUCUAAAGGUUCGCCUAAAAAAUAGAAGAGUUUAGACAACAAUAUAGACUCGAAAAAUAGACUUAGGCAACAAAUAUACAUGCGUCCUCCUAUAUUGAUAACAAUAUCUACACUAAUUCAACUAAAACUCAAUCAGCUAAUUCCAUCGAUUUUAUAUUUAUUAAUUUUGAAUGGAUUAAUGGUAAAGUAAAGCGACGCGAUUCUAAUCACUUAUAUGUAAAUAUUAUAUAAUAAGAUGUACUAAAAAAUAUUAUAUACUGUGAUAAAUGGUCGGAUGGUAAGUUUUUAUUUUGAUGAAUAAAAGACUAUAACGGUAAAAUUAUUAGUUAAGCUCCUGUAUUAAUUAGGAGAAGGUUGCAAUUUGGAAAUUUUUUUGAAAAAAAUGAGUAAAUUGGUCUUUAUAUAUUUUGAAAUAUACAAAUUAACUCUUCUGUUAAAUUUUAUCUAUUAAAUGAUGACAUGAAACGUUAAAUCUAUAUGUUGAAAAUUAUUUUUUUAUGGGUAUAUAAAAAUAGUCACCCAACUAUAUCUUUUAUUCUAUUUUAAUUGUCCGACUAAGGAUUCAUUUUGAUUUAAGUUUACCUUCAAUCUGACAUGAUUUGGACACUCUAUUGCCCAAUCAUGCCGCAAUAGAUCACUUGGAUGUAUAAUGGGAUUCAAUUUCAUCGCACUGAGGUCUUGCUUUUUCAUUGGAGGAUUACAACUCCAUUGACUUUCUUCUUCUUUUUUUGUAUCUAGACUUGAUCAUGAGACAGGCCAUCUCAGUUCAACCCAAAAGUCCAUCCAAAAAGUGAGUGGGUUUGAACUAAAAUAUAAGCUCAAAAACUAGAAUUGGGCUAGAAAACAAAAUUUAUUUUCUAAAUAGAUCGAGCUUCGAGUAAGCUUUGUCAUAGUUUCUAUCCUUACCCUCGUUAGUGGCAGGGAAAGGGACUGAGAAGGGCUUUGCAACCGCUUUACACCCUCUCCUAAAACGGGUUGAGACUCUCCAAAAUUCAUAAAAGCAUAAGUUAAAUAUAUAAUAAAUUUAUAAUUUAACCUAAAAAUUAUUAAAAUUUUAAUUUAAUCGUUUUAAAUGCCAUAAAAUAUAAUUAAAACCUAUUUUAACACUCAUAAAAAAUUAUUUUAAUCUCGAUUUCUAUAAAAGAUUUUCCAACUUCACCCCACAUUUAUCUAAUUACAUACUAGUUAGUUCAAUAAUUCAUUGGUAUUUUCAUGUUAUUCAUUGUUUUGAAUAAAUCGAAAAGUAAAAGCAUAAACACAACAUCCUUUCCAAAGCUCCAUUUCAAUUUUUUCAUUAUUCAUCACAUGUUUCUUACAAAAAACAUAAAAAUGAAAUAAAAUAUUCGUUCACAUGUUGAUUUUUCAUACAUGUAGCAUGUAAGAAAACAAAGUAACAAUGGAAGCCCCAACCAAUGAUCCAAGAACUGGCAAGGUUGCGGCAGCCACGCUGGAAUCUGGUCCUGAUGCUGUGGCGGAACCAGGAGAGGAGCUAGGAAUAGAACCACCGGCGGAAGGGGAAGGAGCAGGUGAACCGGCAGCCAUGACGGCGCUCAUUGAGGCGGCAGCAACAAUGAUGGCGGUGGAGACCUUCUUCAUGUCCAUGGCGUAUAAAGGGAUUAUUAAACGCACCGAAAAUAAAUGAGACCUGCGUUUAAUUACUGGUGAAUGGCUAUCGCCGGUGAUUGUUAUUACUUGCUUUGUUAUUGCAGGUCUGAAGAACAACGAUGGUGGGGAGGAUCAUUUAUAGGUGAAAAUUCAUGGCUAUUUUUAGUGACGAAAUUUUUAAAAAAAUUUACGUGUUUGGUUUUUGCAUGGUUUGCGGGAUAGACAUGCAAAUUUUUGAAUUUGUUUUAGCGAUUUAGACUGGAUUUUAAGGUGGGGAUUUUUUUUGGUAAGAGAAACAAGAGUAGUAAAUUACAGAAGAAUAAUUACCUCAAUCAAUAUCAUUUUGUAAAUUAUUCAGAAGAAUAAUCGAAUCAAUUUACUAUUUAAUCAAUUCAACCAAUCAAUCUAAUGAAAUUUGAAGAAUUUGGUUUCUCAAGGUGGAUAUACACUUCGGUUCAAUUACUAUUUAAUCAAUUGGGUCCUUAUUGGCUAAAAAUGAAUUCUUUUAGAAAAAUAUAUAUUUAAAAUUUUAGAGUUAGGACUAAAUUGAUAGAUUUUGUACAUAUUGAGGGUCAAAUUUAUUAUUAUUUUUAGAAUUAUAAUUAAAAUGACAAAUUUUGUAAACAUUGAGGGCUAAAUUUGUUGAUUUUUUUAUAUUUAGUAUCAAAUCGAUAGAAUGUAUAAAUAUUAGAGAGCUAAUUUUGUUACUAGACUAAUAAAACAAGCCCACAUCAGCUCAGAGUAACUAAAUCGAAAAAAUUAAUAGUUGGGUAACCAAAUAGAACAAAAGACAUAGUUGGGUGACUAUUUUUAUAGUUUACCCAUAAAAAUCAUUUUCAGCAAAGAUUUAACGUGCCACAUCAUCAUUUUACAUAUAAAUUUAACGGCAGUCUAAUUUGCACGUUUUGAAAUAUAUAUAAGGGCUAAUUUGUUCAUUUUUCAAUAAAGGGACCGAAAUGUAAUCUACCGCUAAGUUCAGUGGCUUCCCUAGUACUUUUACGGACUAUAAAGGAAUUGAACUUGAAUAAAUGUCUUUAUUUAUGUUCAUUUAUUUAUUUUUUAAAGCUUAUUUGUGUUUAAUUUGUGUUCGUUAAGUAAAAUCAUUUUCGUGUUCAUUUAUUUAUAACUAUGUGUGUUGAUCUUUGCUCGUUUAAACUUAGUGAGGAUUAUAGAAAAGGUUGGCAAGAGAGGGGGAUGGUUGUUUAAACGGUGGUGAGGUGCUGGAAGAGAGAGGUUGAAGAAGAAAUCUAUCAAGGGAGGGGUAUUUAUAGGCAAGGAUGAUCACCCCUUGGCAUUAGGCCCUAACACGUGCCUUCACUGGUCUUGUCAUGUUUGGUCCCUUAGAAAACAUUGUAGAACUUCUAAAUAAGCAAUAAUGGGAUCAAUAUGGACAUAGUAAAGCUCUACGUGGGUCUUACUUGUGUUCCAUGAAAAAGAAUGACUCAACACCUAUCAUUGGCAAGGUAGAUUAGAGGUGAGCCACGUGUAAACCAUACAUACGUUUGCAAGGGCCAUGGCUGGUGAAGUGUUGCCUAUGAGCGAAGUUAUAGUCGAGAAGGUUGUGUGUGACACCCCACACCCAAUUUGAUCAUCAGAUCCGAAUGUGUCACAUCACAUUACAUCAUCGAAACAACUCAAACUAACUUGACAUAAAUUUGCAAAAUUAAAUUCUUAUUCAUCAUUCAGAACAAUAAGCCUAUUCAUUAUGAUCAACAAAUAACAUUUGGCAUACAUAAGAAUCAAUUCCAUCUACAUACAAGGGGUUAUAAUGAGUUAAUAUAUUAGAAUUAGGGCUUGAAUCCAAACUCAAAUGUCAUAUUUCAAGUUAUGUCUCCAGACAUGGAGAAUCUCGAGACAGGUCAUAAAUUAUUUUGGAAAUUUUAGCUUCAAAGUUAACAUGUCUCGAGUUGAGUCUCGAGGCAAGGUCAUUUAUGUCUCGAGAUUGACCUCUCAUGUUUUCCUAUUUUUGGUUCGAUGUUUGAAUGUCUUGAGGCAAGAGCUCUUGUAUCAAGACUUGGAAUAAGGAAAAAAAAUUAAUUUAGCUUCGAUGUACUUCUAUCUUGAGACAAAGACCACUUGUCCCGAAACCUAGGAGCAAUUCUCUCGAGACUAAUUAGUUAUGUAUCGAGGCAUCGGGCUCUUGAAUGAAAAAAUUAAGAGAAAUUCUUUUUAACAGUAUUGAGGCAUGUUUGCCUUAUAUCGAGACUUAAUGACCAAAUGAACAAAAUUUCCCACUUCUAACUACCCAAAACCUUAGGCAGUUGAACUCAAACUGACCUAAAGCUUACCUUAAACCAUAAUCUCAAAUUAACCCAUCUAAACACAUUUAACGAUCACUAAAUUAUAAUCUUCCAUGCAUAAACACUUAAUAAACCAAUUCAAACAAUCAAACCAACAUAAACAAGCAUAAUUAACUAAUAGUCAAAAGAUAAAAUCUAACCUCUUAAGCAUUAUGGGUCACUUACUUAAAGUGGCAAAACUAAAUUAGGCAUCAAACCAACCAACCUAAGUACAUGUCAUAUGACUUCAAAACUGUUAAAAAGAAUUUCUCUUAAUUUUUGCAUACAAAACAUGAUUGUAAUGGCUUUUUGAGUUGAGUUGGAGAGUUGGAUGCUUGACCGCGAAAUAUUUAUAGCUUUUAUCCACAACUUACGUGUUUAUCUAAUAAAAAUAACCAACCAACCAACAUAACUUGAAUUCAAUUAUAAACCUAACAAAUCUAAUAAAAAUAAGUAAUAAGAAAACCCAAGUUAACCAACCAACAUUUCACAUUUAUCUAAUUACAUACUAGUUUGUUCAAUAAUUCAUUGUUAUUUUCAUGUUAAUCAUUGUUUUGAAUAAAUGGAAAAGUAAAAGCAUAAACACAACAUACUUUCCAAAGCUCCAUUUCAAUUUUUUCAUUAUUCAUCACAUGUUUCUUACAAAUAAAAUAAAAAAUAAAAUAAAAUAUUCGUUCACAUGUUCAGUUUUGAUACAUGUAGCUUACUGCAGCAUGUAAGAAAACAAAGAAACAAUGGAAGCCCCAACCAAUGAUCCAAGAACAGGCAAAGUGGCGGCAGCGACGCUGGAAUCCGGGCCUGCUGCUGGGGCGAAAGCGGGAGAGGAGCUAGGGCUAGAACCACCUGCGGAAGGGGAAGGAGCAGGUGCAUCAGCGGCCAUGACGGCGCUCAUUGAGGCGGCAGCAACAAUGAUGGCGGUGGAGACCUUCUUCAUGUCCAUGGCGUAUAAAGGGAUUAUUAAACGCACCGGAAAUGAAUGAGACCUGCGUUUAAUAACUGGUGAAUGGG
This 5828-nucleotide long non-coding RNA is filed under the name Gossypium barbadense (sea-island cotton). Its description in RNAcentral is "long non-coding RNA (GBAR_LNC021329)". The record is from RNAcentral. Lineage: Eukaryota; Viridiplantae; Streptophyta; Magnoliopsida; Malvales; Malvaceae.